CUUUGCAAAGAACAAGGUACUCCAUAUUCCUACAGCCCUGGAGGAUGAAAGAAAGGGUGAGGUUAUAUUCCUUUUUACAUAUGACGAAGUGGAGGCCCGGGAACUUGGGGAACUUUCUGUGGUUUACUCACUUGUAAUUCUGGAGUGGCAGAGCUAGGCUAAGAGGAAAUGUCAGCGUCCUGUCCACCACGCAGCCCUGCCUUCUUUCAUGAUAACCUUGAUAAGGACAUGGAUUCAAAACCUGAGAUAAAUCCUCGGAGCCAUGGUGCCAGCAGUUUGGUGCAGGUACCAAAAUACAGAGCUGAUUCCAAAAUCUAUGCUCCAUAACCAUCCGAGACUGCCCAGGGCUGCAAUCCAUGGAGACAGCGAGAAACAUGACAACAAACAAAUACAUUGCCCGAGUCUGAAAUCUGACUCUGGUUUCUAAUUCUACCACUAAACUUUUUAUAAUUUCUGAUUAUAAAAAUAAUGUGAAAAUAACAUAGCAAUUAACAUCUAUUGAUCACUUGGGACUAAGCAUCUGCCAGAGAUCAUUUAAUUCUCACCUACAAAGUAGAUACUAUUUUCCUGGGGUGAAGGGAUUGGUCUAAGGUCAUAGAGCUAUCAUGUGUAAGAGGCAAGAUAAGAUUCAGACUCAAAAGGCCAGAGGAUCAGAGUUACACUGCUUUCCUGCACAGAAUUACUACUGAUUGUUGCCCCGGUUACAUAGGACUGCUGAGAAAAUGGCACACAGACUUAUUUCUUCGGAGAAACGUCAAAUGUUUCAUAUGAUUCAUUAUUCUUAUUUUUACUUUUGAAUUUUGGGGUUCAUUGUUUAAUUAUAAAAGAUGGCUCUUUUACUAACGAUUUUGUCAUUUGCUAGUAAUUUUUUCAUGCAACUCACUGAAAUUUCUGAUUUUAUAAUUUCAGGCCUUUGACCUCAGCUUUUGCUUUUCACAGAAACUGGAGAAUUCUGUUUACUAGUUUGCUAAGACAAUAUUUU
This 982-nucleotide long non-coding RNA is filed under the name Homo sapiens (human). Its description in RNAcentral is "HSALNT0024770". Lineage: Eukaryota; Metazoa; Chordata; Mammalia; Primates; Hominidae. The record is from RNAcentral.